GUUCCUUUUGUUUAUGUUGUUUGAAUUUAACUUUUGAAAGAUUGUAGCCUGAAGAGGAUGGUAAAGCCACUGAAAACGUUUGCUUUAAUAAAGUUGAUGUAUUCUAUAACUGCAAAGUAGUGCUCUGACUGAAUUAUCCUUAUAUAAAAUUAAAGCCACACUUCAGAAAUAUCUUUACUCUUUCUAUUCAGUAAUUAUAUUAAUUAAUUGAUGAACAGAAGGAGUGCCUUUCUUUCAAUAGAUUUUUGUUGAGAAAGAUUUCUAAUGCAUAAAUCUUUGCCUAUAUUCUUAAGGAAAAGUUGUCAUCAUAUGUUAAAUGUUUCUUAUCUUAAAUUUAACAAUAUAUUUUACAAGCAGACCCAUGGUGUGUCUGUAGAAAGCCGAAUUGCAGGCUUUCCAGCAGAGAUCGUAGUAGUAGUAAGAGAAAGGGAGGGGCCUAUGCAGCCCAAGCACUGCGACCAAUACAGGU
RNAcentral lists this long non-coding RNA (469 nucleotides) under Androctonus crassicauda. The record is from RNAcentral. Lineage: Eukaryota; Metazoa; Arthropoda; Arachnida; Scorpiones; Buthidae.